AUCAUAUAUAUAAGAAGGGCUGAAAGAACACUUAACAGCAAACUCGAGGAAGUAUUUCUCUUGUCUCUCUUGAGGCACACAUGUCCAGCUGUAGAAGAGACCAUCAAA
RNAcentral lists this small RNA (108 nucleotides) under Arabidopsis thaliana (thale cress). RNAcentral describes it as "ATSL203970". The record is from RNAcentral. Lineage: Eukaryota; Viridiplantae; Streptophyta; Magnoliopsida; Brassicales; Brassicaceae.